AAAUGACUAAUCUGAAUGUGAGAAAAAAGGAUCAUGCACAAGUUUGAUUCUGAAGAAAUAACAAUUCAGGCAUUCCAUUUACUUUGUUGGCUGUCACGACCUGCUGUGAAUCCAAGAAUUUCAUUUUACUGCGAGAAUACAAGAGGAGAUUCAUGUUUCUAAAUCAUUCAUCAUAGAAGUUUAAACAUGUAAUUUUCUGUUUCUGCUCGUUAUGGGGCAAACAUAUGGCAAUUGUUAUAGCAAUGAUGUACUUUAUACAGCACGCUUCCAAGCAGUUAAUAAAUGAGUAACGACCCAAAUGAUAUACAAUCCCAUGAUUCAUAAAUGAAGUUCAACCUAGUUUUGCAGUACAUGAGAAAGAACAGAUUACUGAUAGCCCAAUAUAACCAUCAUGUGUAACACCCAGAAGCCCUUUGGGCUGCAAAUUUUUGUUUCUUACAACUGCAAAUAAAUUUUCAAUUCCAUAUUUUCCAUCCACAUCCAAGCUGUUGCUCAAUAUUUGUUCAUGGCAUCAUUUCAUGAAGAGCAUCCUUCAAGCCCCAAUUUGGAAGUCAGCCAAGCGCAGACCUCAUCCAUCUCUUGCGGGAUUGUGUAGUGACCAAGCCCAUUGUAUGCUUUGAAUGUCACAUCCUGGAAACCAGUUGAAGACAAAACCCGUGACGAUUUUUCACCAAAUUUAUAAGGAACCACAUCAUCACCUUUGCCAUGACAGAGCAAUAUGGGCAGGGAUAAGGCACGCCUUGCAGCUUCUUCCACCCCCUCAAUUUUGUUACUCAAGGUCUUUGAACAUGGAAGCCAGCCACUUAAUCCAACAACUGCACUCAAAUUGCCAGGGUACUGAUUUCCAUUUGCAUACUUCCCUAAAGUAAAGCAUGUUGCAGAGUAUAAGGAAGUAGCUGCACCCAUGCUGAAGCCUCCAAUACCAAGUUUAAUGUCAGCAGGUUCUGUUGACAAUAAAUUUGCGACAUGUGCCGCAGCAGCAUCUAAACCCUCCACAUCAUCGGGAGCAUCUUCUGAAAGGUCUCCCACAUCAAACCAUGCUGUGGAUGGGAAGCCACCAAAAACAGUUAUAGGUUGAGUUGGAGAAGUUGGGCAGAUCCAUUUAAUAUUUGGAAGAGGA
RNAcentral lists this unclassified non-coding RNA (1120 nucleotides) under Hevea brasiliensis (rubber tree). Lineage: Eukaryota; Viridiplantae; Streptophyta; Magnoliopsida; Malpighiales; Euphorbiaceae. The record is from RNAcentral.